RNAcentral lists this non-coding RNA (489 nucleotides) under Phytophthora sojae strain P6497. Its description in RNAcentral is "Eukaryotic large subunit ribosomal RNA". It matches the Rfam family "Eukaryotic large subunit ribosomal RNA", at positions 1895 to 2354 of the family's 3401-position model. Lineage: Eukaryota; Oomycota; Peronosporomycetes; Peronosporales; Peronosporaceae. The record is from Rfam by way of RNAcentral.
AGAAUAUAGAUAAGGGAAGUCGGCAAAUAAAAUCGUAACUUCGGGAAAAAGAUUGGCUCUGAGGGUUGGGCCUAGGGGUCUUUUUAAAGAGCUUGUGGCGGCCUAAGCUGGGCUGCGUCGUAACGUUUCGGGGAUCGGAUGCAGCCCAGCGGUCGGGCAUCUCUUGCUGCGCCGGAGAGAAUGGUCGUUGGCUUUCGGGCUGGCGGCUGUUUUCCUAGUGUGUUGAACAACCGGCUCAGAACUGGAGCGGACAAGGGGGACCCGACUGUUUAAUUAAAACACAGCAUUGUGAUGGCCGGAUACGGUGUUGACACAAUGUAGUUUCUGCUCAGUGUUCUGAAUGGCAAAGUGAAGAGAUUCAACCGAGCGCAGAUAAACGGCGGGAGUAACUAUGACUCUCGUAAGGUAGCCAGAUGCCUCAUCAUCUAACUAGUGACUCGACUACGAUAUCAACCAACCGUGUCCCCAAAUGAGCUUCCUCACCUAGUA